AGUCGAUCCUCUCUCCUUCCCUUUCUUUUUCAUCAACACCCCGACGACGACGCCAGGCUACCCCCAUAGCUUCGCUGUCUCUCACCGUCAUUCAUGCCAGUCACCCGAUUGGCGAGGAAAAGAUACGGCCAAAGGUGUUUGAGAGCGAAACCUGCACAACGCAGCGUGUCUUGAGUACGCCUAGCUCUUACUCUUAGUGGGUGUGGCGUAAUUGGACAACGAAACAUCUCUAUACGAAUUAUGGACCAGAAUCUGGAAAAGAAAUGCGAUAAUUUGACUCAAGACACAUAGGGCAAAGCAAAUUCUCGAGGCGACGUUACAUAUGUGAGCGUUUCCUGCAGAUCUGUCAAUCCUACAUGGCGGUCCACAAAUGCUGUGAGCUCGUGACUCACCACUAACGCCCAUGCAACUUAAAUACGCUGCAUUCACUGUGUCCGGCAAACGGUGACAGAGCCCUAGGCUAUCACUGUGAGCAUGAUGAGGGAAAAAAAAAAAGUUGAAUGGGCAAGACGGAAUGCUUGGACAUGUGCGUACAAUCAAGCGGUCUGUAGGUGCGGUCGUGAAUGUAAGAAGACUUAGCAUUUGUUCACUUAUAGGUAAAUAUUUGAUUUUGACCUGGACGCACCACCUGUCUGAAAACUCAACGCUUGCAGGCUUAACAGUCAUAGCAUUGAUGAACGGAUCGCCACCAUCUUGCUCACGACAUCGAUAAAGCACUAGCGACAAAUCUGAGUGGUGGCAUAGUGAUGCUGCAGAUCGUUGUGCCUUGAGAAGCGAUCAUUGCGCAAGGAUAUAGAUCAUCGCAGCCUAUCGCUAUCCUUCCGUCACUACCUGAACUUCGGCUGUGGUGCUAUCGCUGUGCAUGACAGAGAGGUGUUGCACAGGACAGUCACAGCGCAUUUGCAUCUGCCACUGACAACCAGAAACCAGGGACCGUGGGCUUCGAAGGAACUGUUCAUUGUCAACGUCAACCGUUAAAACAUGUAACAAAAGACCAGCAGCAGUUGGCAUCUCCAUCAUUCAUCAUUUUUUCAUCGUCUAUAAACGUUUCAUGGUGACAAGAAAACUUUGAGGAGAAGGGCCUCAAAACUGUAUGGAGUUCGGCACCAUCCCGAGUGACCGAUUACAGUAUAGCCUUCAAUUUUCACUUUUCAUCCUCCGAACAUAUAAGUAACCGACCGAAGUCAGUGACCAUACAUACUCUCUAAUUCAUUACUUUAUCGCCAAAUUACAUCAUCAAAAGAUACUUAAAAGACAUACUAUCAUGAUGUUGCUGAGAAUGUCUCACUGUCUUUAUUUCAGGAAGUCUAUUUAAUCUAUGUUGAUCUAUACUCUAUAUGUGAAUCGAAAUGUUAUGUCGUGGUUGGUAAGAACAUGGUAAUUGUAUGAUAAGGGUGAAGGCAAGAUGUGGAGAUAUUGUGCUGAUGGCUUCUAGCACCGCAUAUAGCAGACGCCGCGAAUGGAAUAGCAAGAUGCCAACUUGGGGCCAGAGACUGUGGGUCGGCAGGUUAGCUACCUAACCCCAUAGUUCCACUAGACGAUUCGACAACACAUAAUUAUGAGAAAAAUGUGAUGAAGUGUGUGACACAUGACUGUAUUACACGUUCUGAACGGUAGCGUAAAUACCGUACAGUCCUCUUCAAGCCUGAUGGACACUUUUCACACCGCCUUCAAAGCACACAUCUUGAAACGUUGUUCGCAUUGCUGUCUGCAGUAAUAGUGCAUGUAUACCGGGGUAAGAGCCGCGUCGGCUGAUAAUGUCAUGAAGACGAGGACUAGAAGCAAAAGGAGUACCAAGAGGGGAGGAGAGAUGGAGGAUCGAUGCUUGGCGAAUAUCAUCGUAGGGUUUCCUGUCAUGCUGAUUAUUUGCCGAUUGUGAGAUGGUUGGUUCUGGAAAAUGUAGAUUGUGAGAGUGACGGACACAACAACAGCGAUUAUAGAAUACCCUACUUUUAUAUUGUUGGCAGAGAAAAUCCUUCACAGUUUCGUAUGUUAGUCUGACCAACCUAUCCACACUCCUCGCCUCGUCCAGACCAUUCUAUUUCCCAUCGACCUCUGCCUACAAUAGGUCAAAAAACUUCUAUCUUAGCAUCACAGCUAAUGCCCCCAACGGUCAAAGGGAUCAUGGCAGACCCCGAUCUCUCUCCCACUGGGCUUUUGCUACUAUAUACGACCUUGGGGCAAGCAGUGCGUAGGCGUUAGAUUGCAGUGCAUUUGUGGUCUCGAACUUGCAUGUUCCGAUCAGAUGUGAUGGAUCUUUCGGUUUGAUUGUCAUGUUGUGACAUUCGUUGUGAGAAAAGUUUUGAUGAAUUUGUCUGUGCGCUUGUGUUGAGAGAGAUAAUGGUCGAAGGUGAAUCCAUUAUUUCGUUAUUUCGCUGUUUUGUUGCUUGAGCUUCUUUG
Molecule: small RNA, 2400 nt
Filed under: Cryptococcus neoformans H99
Lineage: Eukaryota; Fungi; Basidiomycota; Tremellomycetes; Tremellales; Cryptococcaceae
Description: Cryptococcus neoformans var. grubii H99 hypothetical RNA
Source: RNAcentral